UCCUUCCUUCCUUCCUUCCUGCCUGCCUUCCUGCCUGCCUGCCUGCCUGCCUGCCUGCCUGAUUUGUGAAACAGUUAAUCCUAAAAAUAGAACCCAGGAAAGAAAGUCAAGUGGAAGCUGUGAUUACUAUCUAAAGAUGUUUUAUUCCUGUCUCAGUUUCAACAAUUUGAGCCACUGAAAGUUCCAGCGACUUUUCCUGAGGGACUUUGGAACAAGAUUUUCACACCUGGGGCUGCUGGAGUUGAAGCUACAUUGUCUUCUAUGGACCAUCAGCCUGAGAGCUGACAGAUAUGAAAUACAAGAAACACCUGAAGAACUAAAUUACUAGACUCCUCCAGCUUGGGACUGUGCAAGGCAGAAGAACAGAAACUGUAAGAAACUUGGAGCUAUGUUAAGAGACUCCCUGGGACCACUUUGUCAAGUGUGAUGGUGUGCCAUGGCCUCAGUUCAAACUCUGCUGUAUACCUUCUGAAGAAAGCUAGAGCCAAACAGUUUUUAGCACACAAAGAAACCAGGAGGCAGCUACCUGCCCUGCAAGAUCCAGCUAAAAGGGAGAGCAUGAGAGAGCAGGAAAACAGACAGAGCUUGAAAACCUCCCUCCAAGCCCAGAGGCUCUUGGCCCUGGUCACUGCCUGAACCCUGCUAUCAAAUGUGUCUCAAGAUGUCUGUCCUGCCCAGUAAACUCUAUCUUACGUCCUAAGUUGUUUCCCUGCUGUUUGGGGACGCACAGUGUUGUGUAAUGUGUUGUAACAUUGGCUUCAUGUCCGUGUGGGUGUCUUUCUGGCAAGAAAAAUAAAGUUUUGAGCCUCAUUCUCCAAUCUUCCUAGCUAUUGUCUGCCAGACUGUUUGCUAGUGUAAAGGAGGCAGGGUGAUGGUGGUGGCUUAUUUUCCACUUGACAGCAUAACAAAACUAAAGGAAAAAAAGCUCCUUCACUCAGUUCAUACUUGGAAAGCCCUUUGUUUUUUGUUUCUGUUUUUGUUUUUACCUGCUAAUGAAUUAAAUAUUUUUACAAGUUCAA
This is a long non-coding RNA of Parus major (Great Tit), 1019 nucleotides long. RefSeq lists it as uncharacterized. The record is from RefSeq and is a predicted model, not a curated record. Lineage: Eukaryota; Metazoa; Chordata; Aves; Passeriformes; Paridae. The transcript is spliced from 4 exons.